Molecule: ribosomal RNA, 208 nt
Filed under: uncultured bacterium
Lineage: Bacteria
Description: partial 16S ribosomal RNA
Rfam family: Bacterial small subunit ribosomal RNA
Source: RNAcentral
CUCGUAGGUGGUUUGUCGCGUUGUUCGUGAAAACUCACAGCUUAACUGUGGGCGUGCGGGCGAUACGGGCAGACUAGAGUACUGCAGGGGAGACUGGAAUUCCUGGUGUAGCGGUGGAAUGCGCAGAUAUCAGGAGGAACACCGGUGGCGAAGGGCGGGUCUCUGGGCAGUAACUGACGCUGAGGAGCGAAAGCGUGGGUAGCGAACA